This 498-nucleotide ribosomal RNA is filed under the name uncultured bacterium. RNAcentral's name for it is "partial 16S ribosomal RNA". It matches the Rfam family "Bacterial small subunit ribosomal RNA", at positions 29 to 523 of the family's 1533-position model. The record is from RNAcentral.
AUUGAACGCUGGCGGCAUGCCUUACACAUGCAAGUCGAACGGUAACGCGGGGCAACCUGGCGACGAGUGGCGAACGGGUGAGUAAUGCAUCGGAACGUGCCCAGUAGUGGGGGAUAGCCCGGCGAAAGCCGGAUUAAUACCGCAUACGACCUACGGGCGAAAGGGGGGGGUCGCAAGACCUCUCGCUAUUGGAGCGGCCGAGGUCAGAUUAGCUAGUUGGUCGGGUAAAAGCCUACCAAGGCGACGAUCUGUAGCUGGUCUGAGAGGACGACCAGCCACACUGGGACUGAGACACGGCCCAGCCUCCUACGGGAGGCGGCAGUGGGGAAUUUUGGACAAUGGGCGAAAGCCUGAUCCAGCCAUGCCGCGUGCGGGAAGAAGACCUUCGGGUUGUAAACCGCUUUUGUCAGGGAAGAAAUCUUCUGAGUUAAUACCUCGGGAGGAUGACGGUACCUGAAGAAUAAGCACCGGCUAACUACGUGCCAGCCGCCGCGGUAA